This 82-nucleotide non-coding RNA is filed under the name human gut metagenome. RNAcentral's name for it is "S10-Clostridia ribosomal protein leader". It matches the Rfam family "S10-Clostridia ribosomal protein leader". RNAcentral also lists the same sequence under 1 other name. The record is from RNAcentral.
UGAUAGCUAUGAAGCGUGAGGUUGUUGCACUUAGUUGCAAGUUUUCCGUGGAGCGAAUGUCAAGUUAGGAAACUGACGGCAA